CCUCAGUUACUUGAUUGGUAGUUUAGGCUAUUGAUCAUGGUGACACCUUCUCUGAGGUUCUCGAACGGAUACAAUUUUACUUCUGCUUUUAUGGGUCAAAGCAGGUCACAAGACCAGACCAGAUCCAAGAUAUGAGGAAAUAGACUCUACCUCUUGAUGGAUAGAGCUACAAAUAAUUUAUGGCCAUGUUAAUGACCUACCACAAAUAUCAAAUAAAAGAAGCAGUUUAUAAAUGAUUUGACUCAUAUUUUCUAACAUUAUUGAUAUACAUACAUACACAAACAUACCCACAGAUAAAAUUCUUUAAAGAUAUAUGUACAGAUGUUAAAAGUGUUUUUUUUUUUUUUUUGUCUUUUUGCCAUUUCUUGGGCUGCUCUUGUGGCAUAUGGAGGUUCCCAGGCUAGGGGUCCAAUCGGAGCCGUAGCCACUGGCCUAUGCCAGAGCCACAGCAACGCGGGAUCCGAGCUGUGUCUGCAACCUACACCACAGCUCGCGGCAACGCGGGAUCGUUAACCCACUGAGCAAGGGCAGGGACCGAACCUGCAACCUCAUGGUUCCUAGUCGGAUUCGUUAACCACUGUGCCACGACGGGAACUCCAAAAGUGAUUAUUUUGUGGGUGAUAAGAUUAUGAUUAUUUUUGUGAGAUUUUUAAAAUGAAUGGUAUUAUGAUUAUCUACUUUUUCUACAAUUAAUCAAUUUUAUAAUGAAGAUAAGAGAAACAACUCAAAAUAUUAAUUUUUGUGUUUACUGUGUAUAUCUCUAGUCUCUCUCAUGGGUGUUGUUAGGGUCGUUUUUCUCUUCUCUAUCUUAAGAGAGAACUAUCAUACACAGAUUGUAGUGCAUAUUUCUCCAUCUUCUUCAGAAAAACAUCACAAAAUAUUUUUUUUAAAUUAAGUGUCCUGCAGAAAUUAAUAUAUACUUGCUUAUGGUCUUCCUUUUAUUAUACUCCUAGAUUUACUUACAUAGGAUGAGGGUACUUAUCUUGUUCCUCAUGUUACAUGUUGGGUUCUAAUGAUUACUGCUUCUUUUUCUAAUGAUUCACAAAUUGCCUCCCAAGAUCUCUUUAAAUAAUUAUUUCUUUAACAAUCCUUGCUAGAAUUGAUGCAGAUCAUGUUAAGUUCACCAGAGAGCACUGAACAAAAUUAUAAUUUAAGUAGGAAGACCAUAACUCAUCUAUAUGAAAUAAUAAUUACUAGUAUUUGAGGGCUUGUCUUGGUAUAUAAGCCCCCCUGCCCCUUUCCUGGAGUGUCUUCCUUUUGAUUUCAUGUCUUUAAAUGCCCUCCAUGACUUAGGCCAGCCUCAAGUCCAAGUCUUCUUGAAAGCGUUCCUGGGUGUUACUAGACCACACUGAUUUCUUUUUUUCCUAAGUUUUUAUUGCCCUUACUGCCUUCACUCUCCAACCUAGUAUUUCAUAUAUUUUGCAAUGCCCUCAAGAGUAGGGACAAAUGUCUUCUAUAAUAUCUACAUAAUAAUUUUAUUACACAGUACUAGGCACCCAUCAAUAGCUUAGCAAACACUGAUUCACGUGACUGUUAAGAAUUACUGUUUUCAGAGUUCCCAUCAUGGCUCAGGGGUAACGAACCUGACUAGAAUCCAUGAGGACAUGGGUUCAAUCCCUGGCCCCAUUCAGUGGAUUAAGGAUCUGGCAUUGCCGUGACUGUGAUGGAGGGCAGCAGCUGUAGCUUUGAUUUGACCCCUAGCCUGGGAACUUCCAUAUGCCAUGGGUAUGGCACACACGCAAAAAAAAAUUUACUGUUUUUGCUUAGAAAUUUAGUUUUUCUGAAAAUGUUUAUCAUCUUCUGAGUUCUGGAAUUUCCUUCUUUUCUGACUGUUCUGCAUUGUCCUCUUAGACCUCCUUGCCCUGUGUUUGCCCUGAAUUUAUACUUAGAAUUCCUAGAAUACUGCCUUCGUUUUUCUUUUGUAAAUAUAUCCCCACCAUCUCUCUUUUUGGCUGCCAUGUGCAGUAGCUUAAUGUGGGGUCUUAGUUCCCAGACCAGGGAUUGAAUCCAGGCUACUGUGGUGAAAGUCCUGAGUCCUAACAACACCAGGGAAAUCCCUAUAUUUCUUUUUUAAUACUGAUAACUUUAUGAGAGUGGAGUAAAACAUCAAUGGAGAUAAGGAUAACCAACAUGAUCCAUUUCAAAAUUUUAAUUUCAUACCUCAGAAUCUGAAAAUUAAGUUAGCUCCUAUUUAUUAAUUUCAGAAUCCAGGAACAGUGUGAGGGAUAGCAGUGUUUUUUUUUUUAUUUGAAAUAAUUUUAUGAGAAUGAAAGCAUAUCUGGUAAUGAACAGAAUAAACUGUUCUAUUUGGACUCUAUCUCCUACUUUUUAAAAAAAACUUAUUGGGAUAUAGUUGACCUACAAAUUUGGGUUAAUUUCAGGCAUAUAGAAAAGUAAACUAGAUAUCCAUUCCUUUUCAGAUUCUUUUUCAAUAUAGGUUACUCAGUAAUUACUCAGUACUGAGUAAAUUUCCCUGUGGAUCCCCAUUACUGUCUAUUCCAUAUAUAUUAGUGUAUAGAUGUCAGUACCAGUCCUGUAAUUUAUCCCCCCUGGCUUCAUUUUCUCAUUUGGUAAACAUAAAUUUGGUUUUGAAAUCUUAUGUCUGUUUCUGUUUUGUAAGUUCUAUUGUAUCUUUUCCAUUAUAUUCCACAUAUGAGUUACCUCAUAUGUUAUUUGUCUUUGCCUGAUUCACUUCACUCAAUAUGAUAAUUACUAGAUCCAUUCAUGUUGCUGCAAAUGGCAUUAUUUCAUGAUUUUUAUGACUAAUAUUCCAUUGUAUAUAUUAUGCAAUCCUCUAAUGAUGGAUAUUUUGUUUGCUUCCAUGUCUUGGCUAUAGUUAAUAUCUCUGCAGUGAACAUAGGGGUGCAUGUAUCUUCAAAUUAUUGUUUUCUCCAGAUAUAUGGCCAGGAGUAGGAUUGCUGAAUCAUAUAGCAGUUCUAUAUUUAAUUUUUUAAGGAAUCUCCAUGCUGUUUUCCAUAGUGGUUUCACCAGCUUACAUUCUGUCCAACAGUGUCAGAGGGUUCCCUUUUCUCCAUACCCUCUCCAGCAUUAUUGUUUGUAGACUUUUUGAUGGUGGUUAUUCUGACUGGUGUGGGGGGGUACCUCAUUGUAGUUUUGAUUUAUAUUUCUCUAAUAAUUAUAAUGAUGUGGAACAUCUUUUCAUGUUCUUUUUGGCCAUCUGUCUGUCUUUGGAGAAAUGUCUGUUUAGAUCAUCUGACCAUUUUUUAAUUGGGUUGCUUUUUUAUAUAAAGCUGUAUGAGUCUAUCUCCUACUUUAAACUUGUUCAGAAAACAAGAACUAAAUUAUAUCACUCAUAAUCUGCAAAUAUCAUAUUUCCUUUCUAUUUUGAAGUUGCUUGGAGAACAUAUAAAUCUGUGCACAAAAACUUAAACUCACAAAAAAUAUUAUCCACUACAAUUUCAGAAUUAUAGCUAAAGUUUCAAAGACUAAUUUAAGGGUAUCUAUUAUAAUAGAUUAUUUACUAUUUAUUAGAGCAAAAUGUUUUAUUAAAUACUAUCAGCUAUCUGCAAGGUACAUAAUCCUUUUAGUGUAAUCAUUGAUGCAAAUAAGUUUGCUGUCUUGGACUCUGGCCAUAUUCCUUAGUGCCAAACAAAACUCUUCAACAAAGGGAGAUAUAAAGGAAUUAGAAAAGUUUAUCUUUGGUAAAAUCUUGUAAACUACUAAAGUUCUUUCAAAAACUGACAUGUCAUAUUAAAAAAAUGCAUACCAAAGUUCAGAAUUAUUUUCCUUUCUUUGUUUUUUGUGAAGAAGAGUUGAUAUAGUAGUAAUUGAUUUUACAACUUCCAGGAUAACUGUUAAACAGUGCUUAGAGAAAAUAAGGAAAACCAAAUUUCAGUAGUCUUUGCUCAGCCCUCAUUGAUAAUAGAUCCACAACAUAUAAUUUUCUCCAAUGUGUUUUACAAAAGGCCUAACCUGGGGAACAUAGGAUUAAUUCACCAAAAGGAUAACAAAUGGAAACUUUUCUAUUUCGAUAAUAACAAAAAAUACAUUUUCCAACUUUGUUUUAAACAAAUUAUUUUUGUUUAGCUAUAAACAAACACCUUUUCGAAUAAAUUUAAAAUUACUUUCUCUAAUGUCAUUUUCCUAUCUCUACCUUAAGAAGUAUUUAGAAACCAAAAGCAUAAAUACUAUUCUGGGAAUUUAUUCUUGCCUGUUAACUUUCUUUCUUUGAUAAAACACAUUUUAAUGACCUGGUAAAAGAUGAGCUUCAAAGUAUGCCUUUGGGACUUUGCUAUAGACAAGCUUCUGGGCUAGCUUUGUCAAAUCCUAUCUGGUCUAUCCUCAGAGCUGAUAGAAUUAGACAUUCUAAAUAAUAGAUAUUAAAAAGAAAACCAGAAAACAAUUAGUCUUAUUUACUGGGUCAAUAAGGAAAGCAUUAAUAUUCCCAUCCUUUUUCGCUACUAUAAGCUCUGUGAGAUGACUCUCUCACUUCUGCAGUGUUUCCACUUUUAGGUGAGAUUAUGUGUCUGAUGAUGGAUGCAGUGUUAAUGACUCCCCUUGGUCUAUGGCUCUCAUUUCUAUGCCACUGGGACCAUGUGACAGAUUUGGUUCUUGGGAAUCUCUUCCUCACAGGGUAAGAAAAAUAAGCCAGUCACCGUAGUCCUUGUCUGUGACCGCUCAUUCUUCUCACUGAUCCCUCAAACCUAUAGGAGGAUAUAAAUUAGGAUAUAACAGGAUAAGAAGAAGUAAUGAAUUAAGCCCCAAAUAUCGGUGGUUUAAUAAAAUAAAGAUUUUUUUCUUGCUUACAUUUCAUGUCCAGUGAGGGGCAGAAGGUGUGGGCUUCUGCUCCAUGUAGUUGCUGUGAGAUUCACUUUGGCUGAGCCACCAUCAUUUGUGAUACUUUCAUUUCAAAUUGUGGUUGGUUGCAUGGUUGUUUCAACAGAGAAGGAGCAAGCUGUAGGAUUGUGCAUUGGCUUUUAAAAGCUUUGACUAAGAAGUAACACUCAUCCUUCUGCUCACAGCCCAUUGGUCAGAAAUAGUCCCAUUCACCUGCUUAAGUAACUAUAAAGGGACUAUGACAUGAGAUAUUUGGUGAGCAAUAAACAUCUCAGACAUAAUAUUCCCUUUUUGUCAUUAAACAUUUUCUUUCGUAUUCUCUUCACAUAUAGACUAAUGCAUUAAAAAGUCAAAGUUCCAGGAGUUCCGGUUGUAUCUUAGUGGGUUACCAACCAAACUAGUAUCCAUGAGGAUGCAGCUUCUUGAUCCCUGGCCCCACUCAGUGGGUUAAGGAUCUGGCAUUGCUGUGAGCUGCAGUGUAGGUCAC
RNAcentral lists this long non-coding RNA (5284 nucleotides) under Sus scrofa (pig). RNAcentral's name for it is "lncRNA (ENSSSCG00000061190.1)". Lineage: Eukaryota; Metazoa; Chordata; Mammalia; Artiodactyla; Suidae. The record is from RNAcentral.